GUCAGCGGACUGCUCGAGCUG
RNAcentral lists this small nuclear RNA (21 nucleotides) under Arabidopsis thaliana (thale cress). RNAcentral's name for it is "snRNA_06211". Lineage: Eukaryota; Viridiplantae; Streptophyta; Magnoliopsida; Brassicales; Brassicaceae. The record is from RNAcentral.